RNAcentral lists this transfer RNA (76 nucleotides) under Gammaproteobacteria bacterium. RNAcentral's name for it is "tRNA-Phe". It matches the Rfam family "tRNA". From Rfam's summary of the family: Transfer RNA (tRNA) molecules are approximately 80 nucleotides in length. The record is from RNAcentral. RNAcentral also lists the same sequence under 2 other names. Lineage: Bacteria; Pseudomonadati; Pseudomonadota; Gammaproteobacteria.
GGCGCGGUAGCUCAGUCGGUAGAGCAAUGGAUUGAAAAUCCAUGUGUCCCCAGUUCGAUCCUGGGCCACGCCACCA